This 264-nucleotide small RNA is filed under the name Microcebus murinus (gray mouse lemur). Its description in RNAcentral is "Metazoan signal recognition particle RNA (ENSMICG00000028511.2)". The record is from RNAcentral. Lineage: Eukaryota; Metazoa; Chordata; Mammalia; Primates; Cheirogaleidae.
GCCAGGCAUGGUGGUGCCCGCCUGUAGUCCCAGCUACUCGGGAGGCUGAGGCAGUAGGAUUGCUUGAGCCCAGGAGAUUGAGGUUGCUGUGAGCUAGGCUGAUGCCACGGCACUCACUCUAGCCUGGGCAAUAGAGUGAGACUCUGUCUCUAAAUAAAUAAAUAAAGACAGGGUCUUGCUGUUUUGCCCAGGCUGGAGUGCAGUGGCAUGAUUAUAGCUCACUGAAACUUCAAACUCCUGGGCUCAGGAGAUCCUCCUGUCUCA